AUGGCAGGGAGCAGGACCGCUCCGAUGACCAGGCAAAACUGCCGACGUUUAGGUUUACAUGCUUCUCAAGAUGAAGCACAAGUCUCAGCUGUUGCAAACAUUGAAAAUGUGAACUCAGCUAGUGCCCCAGCAUCUGAUGCUCAGGCCACUCCAAUAUCUGAAGCUGCUCCAUCUCAAAUUGCUACUGCUGGUACAACAAGCAAAGUUGGUAGUAAGAGGAAGCUCACAUCAGCAGUAUGGGAUGAGAUGGAAAAGAAACUUAUUAAUGGAGUAUGGAAAGCUGAAUGCAAUUAUUGUCACACAAAACUUAGUGCUCUUGGUACACAUGGCACCAAACACUUGCAUGCUCAUUUGGCCUCUUGUCCUGCUAGGCAUGUACCUAUGGGUCCAAAGCAACAAAAAUUAAAGUUGACAGUGGCUGAAGGUGGAAAAGUAAAUGUUGAAAAUUACACUUUUGAUCAAGAGAAGGCUAGGAGAGAGCUUGCACUGAUGAUCUGCGAACAUGAGUACCCUUUAUCUAUGGUGGAUCACCAUGGUUUUCGUAGGUUUUGUUCUUAUUUGCAACCAUUGUUCAAGAUGGUGAGCAGAAAUACUAUUAGGAAUGACAUUGUAGCUAUGCAUUCUACUCAGAAGGAGAAGAUGGUGAAUUUUUUUGCAAGCUUCAAACACCGAGUGGCUGUCACUACAGAUUUGUGGACAGCAGGCUAUCAAAAGAGAGGUUACAUGGCUGUUACGGCACACUACAUAGAUGAUUCUUGGAACCUGAAGAGCUUUCUUAUAAGGUUUGCUUAUGUGCCAUGCCCACAUACAGCUGAGGUCAUAUGUGAAGCCUUGUAUGAGUGUCUUGUUGAGUGGCACCUAGAGAGGAAGAUUUCCACUGUCACAUUGGACAACUGCACAUCUAAUGAGAAAGCUAUGACCAUAUUGCCAGAUAAGUUGGAUACUAGCUCUCUUAUGUUAGAUGGCCAGUUUCUGCAUAUGCGUUGUGCUGCUCACAUAUUAAACCUGAUUGUGAAAGAUGGAAUGAGUGUCUUAGAGGAAGGUGUAGAGAGAGUACGUGAUAGUGUUGCAUUUUGGUCGGCAACACCUAAAAGGCAUGAAAAGUUUGAAAAGAUGGCAAAAACAUUGAACAUAGAGUAUAACAGAAGGUUAAAUCUUGACUGUAAGACUAGAUGGAAUUCAACUUACCUUAUGAUAAGCAUUGCUCUACAAUACAUAGAGAUAUUUGAAAAAUUGAAGGCACGUGAAAAGAAAUUUGAUUGCUGCCCAACCAAAGAUGAUUGGAAGUUUGCAAAGGAAAUGUGUGAUAGGUUGAAGCUCUUCUUUGAUAUCACUGAGUCAUUUUCAGGAACUAAGUAUGUAACAGCAAAUCUCUUUUUCCCUAAAGUAGUUACCAUUCGUUUGGCCAUAAGGAAAUGGGGUAAAAGUGAAAAUGAGCUUAUACAAAAAAUGUCAGAGGAAAUGAAGGAUAAAUUUGAGAAGUAUUGGAAAGAUAUACAUGGUCUUAUGGCAGUUGCAACAGUCCUUGAUCCAAGGUACAAACUUCAUAUUCUCAAUGCUCUAUAUGGUCCUCUGUACGGAAGACAUCAUGCAGCCAAAGAAAUAGAGAAAGUGAGGGGGUUAAUGUUUGACUUGGUAAAGCAAUACCAAGAUAAAGCAGAAUGUGAGGAUACAUGGGAUGCUUCUGCUACUUCAAUCCCAUCUGGAGAAGAGGAUGAAGCCAUGAAACUCUUGGAUCUUUAUAUGUCCAAUCGUGUCGUUACACCUUCUUCUUCUUCUUUGUCCCAUAAAGAAUUGGAAUUGUAUUUGGAAGAAGCUCCUCUGCCUAGAACACAAGACCUGGACAUCAUUGAUUGGUGGAAGGUUGGGGGCGUCAAGUAUCCUACCUUACAAAAACUUGCUCGUGAUAUAUUGCCUAUUCCUAUAACAUCCGUUGCUUCAGAAUGUGCAUUCAGUACUAGUGGUAGAGUUCUUAGUGCACACCGUAGUAGACUUACUCCUAAUGUGGCUGAAGCUCUCAUGUGCAUGCAAGCUUGGUCUCGUGCUGAUCUAUUAGGUGGCCGGAAUUCCACUCUCUUUGCAACAUUACAAAGUGUUCUUGAGGACAAUGAAGAAGAGAUGGAUGAAUCUACUUCAAUUAUCACUCAAGAAUGA
RNAcentral lists this ribosomal RNA (2154 nucleotides) under Triticum aestivum (bread wheat). RNAcentral's name for it is "partial small subunit ribosomal RNA". The record is from RNAcentral. Lineage: Eukaryota; Viridiplantae; Streptophyta; Magnoliopsida; Poales; Poaceae.